CCACUGAUCCAGUGUAAGCCACUGAGGAGGAUCAAGCUGAACAGAGACAUGGGGGGGGAGACGAGGCAGCAAUGAGAUCCCUCCUCAGACCGAGUGUCCUCAGGUCCAGAGAAGGACAAUGACCUCUUCAGACCGACCGGCUCCUACUGGACUUUCAGAAGGAGACAGGCCGAGCAGUACCACGGAAGGAGCUGGGAAGACGGAGCGAUCGGCAUCCACCGAGAAAGGAGUCUCCAGAGAGAGAAGUGCUGGAGACAGACCAUCAUUCUCAGACAGAGACAGGGAAGCAGACAGAAGUUUUGGAUCAGAAAGAGAAAGGGACCGAGGUUUAGGAUCCGAUCAGAGAAGAGACCGAGGUCAGGGGUCCGACAGAGGAAGAGACCGAGUUUCUGCUCCAAGUAAUCAGAAGGGAGCAGACAGAGACACUGACGACAGGGUGGAGAAGUCGGUUAAGAGUGAACAGAAGAGCUCCAGUGGAGGACGCAGAUCUGUGUCUCUGGAUAAAAUGACCAUCGGAGAGAGGUCUGUCUUCACCAAGAGACAGACUGACCAUCAGGAAAAACCAAGUGGAUCUUCUAAGGACAGGGGAGAAGGGUCUGAAAGAGCGACUAAAUCUGACAGGAGUGUGUCCAAGGACAGAACAGAAAGAAUGAUCCCCUCUGGAGGGAAGCCAGCUGCUGCUCACAGAGAAGGAGUGAAACAAGGUGAAGAGUCUACAGUAAGAAGCAAACCUAGAAUCAGCCGAAAGGCCCUGACAAGCCACAACAGGGAGCUCCAGCAGGUAGGCUUUGUUUUGUUUCAUUUAUUAUUUUAUUUGACAGGGACUGUGCAGAGAGUUAAGGUGUAAAUGAGCAAGAGUUAGUCAACAGUGCUAAUUACCUCCGCCAAGUAGGUUAUGUUUUUGUCAGCGUUGGUUUGUCUGUCUGUCUGUGUGCAAGAUAACUGAAAAAAGUUCUGACUGACUGAUCUCUCUAAGUGCUUUUCUAGUUUACAUCUGUUGUCUCUGGCAACAUCAAAAGUCACAAAUUAUCAAAAUCAUAUACAGUUGGAAUAGGGAUGCAAAUGAUCAGUUAAUCGAUUAAUCAUUAUUGGGUGACUUUAUCGAUCGCUUAACGAUUAAUUGAUAAGCAUCAAUUUUCCCAAGAUCCUGAAAUUCUUUUUCGAUCAGGUCUAUAAGAGUAAAAGCUAAAUAUUGUUUAUAUACUUCAUGAAAAAAAGCAUGUCAUAUUCCUUAAUGACUGAUUUAUUGAACCACUGGACUACAGUACAGGCAAUGACAUUUAUGGAGUAGAACUAAAUACAUUCUGCAGAGAAUUCAAUAAAAUACAGGGAUCUGAAGAGGGGCAGUUUAGAAGAAAUGGGCAUUUCUGACUUUGCAUCACAGACAUGAUGGAGCUUGAUUUCAGCGCAAAUACUGCCGUCGAGCAAAUUCUUAUCGGC
RNAcentral lists this long non-coding RNA (1440 nucleotides) under Sphaeramia orbicularis (orbiculate cardinalfish). RNAcentral's name for it is "lncRNA (ENSSORG00005011837.1)". Lineage: Eukaryota; Metazoa; Chordata; Actinopteri; Kurtiformes; Apogonidae. The record is from RNAcentral.